CGUAAACACUCUGGAGAGAGCGGUUGAAUCCGCCGCCGAAGGUGCACGAGACGUAUCCGCGUCUCCAAACUCUCAGGCAAAAGGACAGAGGGGCGCCC
RNAcentral lists this non-coding RNA (98 nucleotides) under Rhodanobacter spathiphylli. RNAcentral describes it as "Rhodanobacter sp. Glycine sequence". It matches the Rfam family "Glycine riboswitch aptamer". Rfam says of the family: This family represents the bacterial glycine riboswitch. Glycine riboswitches usually consist of two metabolite-binding aptamers domains with similar structures in tandem. Lineage: Bacteria; Pseudomonadati; Pseudomonadota; Gammaproteobacteria; Lysobacterales; Rhodanobacteraceae. The record is from RNAcentral.